ACCCAGCUGACGAGUCCCAAAUAGAAAGCAACGCGCGUCCUGUAU
This is a non-coding RNA of Schistosoma mansoni, 45 nucleotides long. Lineage: Eukaryota; Metazoa; Platyhelminthes; Trematoda; Strigeidida; Schistosomatidae. The record is from Rfam.